AACCUCCGCAAUGUGAGAAAUCGCGACGGGGGGAUCCCAAGUGCCAUUCUUAACGGGAUGGCUUUUCAUUAGUGUAAAGAGCUUUUGGAAUAAGAGCUGGGCAAGACCGGUGCCAGCCGCCGCGGUAACACCGGCAGCUCUAGUGGUAACAAUUUUUAUUGGGCCUAAAGCGUCCGUAGCCGGUUUAAUAAGUCUCUGGUGAAAUCCUGUAGCUUAACUGUGGGAAUUGCUGGAGAUACUAUUAGACUUGAGACCGGGAGAGGUUAGAGGUACUCCCAGGGUAGAGGUGAAAUUCUGUAAUCCUGGGGGGACCGCCUGUUGCGAAGGCGUCUAACUGGAACGGUUCUGACGGUGAGGGACGAAAGUUAGGGGCGCGAACCGGAUUAGAUACCCGGGUAGUCCUAACUGUAAACGAUGCGGACUUGGUGUUGGGUGGCUUUGAGCUGCUCCAGUGCCGAAGGGAAGCUGUUAAGUCCGCCGCCUGGGAAGUACGGUCGCAAGACUGAAACUUAAAGGAAGU
This 520-nucleotide ribosomal RNA is filed under the name uncultured bacterium. Its description in RNAcentral is "bacterial SSU rRNA". It matches the Rfam family "Archaeal small subunit ribosomal RNA", at positions 345 to 866 of the family's 1478-position model. The record is from RNAcentral.